GAUGAACGCUGGCGGCGUGCUUAACACAUGCAAGUCGAACGAAACACCUUAUUUUGAUUUUCUUCGGAACUGAAGAUUUGGUGAUUGAGUGGCGGACGGGUGAGUAACGCAUGGGUAACCUACCCUGUACAGGGGGAUAACAGUCAGAAAUGACUGCUAAUACCGCAUAAGACCACAGCACCGCAUGGUGCAGGGGUAAAAACUCCGGUGGUACAGGAUGGCCUCGCGUCUGAUUAGCUAGUUGGUGAGGUAACGGCCCACCAAGGCGACGAUCAGUAGCCGGACUGAGAGGUUGAACGGCCACAUUGGGACUGAGAUACGGCCCAGACUCCUACGGGAGGCAGCAGUGGGGAAUAUUGGGCAAUGGGCGCAAGCCUGACCCAGCAACGCCGCGUGAAGGAAGAAGGCUUUCGGGUUGUAAACUUCUUUUGUCAGGGACGAGUAGAAGACGGUACCUGACGAAUAAGCCACGGCUAACUACGUG
RNAcentral lists this ribosomal RNA (484 nucleotides) under uncultured bacterium. RNAcentral describes it as "bacterial SSU rRNA". It matches the Rfam family "Bacterial small subunit ribosomal RNA", at positions 28 to 507 of the family's 1533-position model. The record is from RNAcentral.